CUUCAGCCACACAAGCACUUCCGCUGCCGAAAUCUGUGCUCACAUACCUUUACACGCAUAGCGCACACAUCUCUGUACAAAUCCUACGGCAUCCGCUACUUCCGGCCAGCACACAGUCCGUGGCACGCAAUUUCGGCCACUUCGCAAACUCGGGUUUUUAGAUCGGUCGCAUUCGGUCGAAAUUCGCUAGUUUCCUAUUGGCCCAAUCCCUUAGAAUACGUCAUCAUCGGAGAGAAGAAGGCCUUCGGCAUCUUUCGGCUUUAGUGCUUGAAAAUCGAUCAAUGGCUUCCACUUGAUCGCCAAGUUUACAUUUUUCCGACCGUCAUAAUUCACAUUUUGAGAGGACGAAUCGUGAAGCACUAAGAUUUUGCCACUGCACUGAUUUUAUGACCGUACGCAGAAGUCGCUACAGAUCUGUUCGUGGGUAAACUUCAUCAAUUCCUCAGUCCACGAUUCAUCCUCCAUGGAUAGCAAAGGCGAUGAACCAGACUUUGGACGACAGGAAACGAAUCAUAUAUCUACUCCAUUAAUUAUAGGGAGGAAGAAGAGGAGUGGGAUUUUCCACUUUUGACAGAUCUAAAGAAAAAGGAACUUAUCAUACUGGACACUCUGUAAUUGUUAAAGUUCAACAGUUAGGGCCUUUUGUUGUGGAUGGAGCUUCAGUAAUGAAGUAAAGAAGUGGCGACUUAAAGAAAAAAACAAUGUUCAGUUCAUCAGGGGUACUGGGAAAGGAAAAUAAUAUUUAGUUAGAAUCAAAUUGAUUAUUGUUUGACUUCACUUUUAGUUAUGGAGUUUGCCCAUCAAUACUCCGCCACAAUAGGCAUUUUGCACAUACCAUUACAUUUUCCCCCUUUUCUGAAUCAAUUUGUAUGGUAUUAGGUGUUGAUUGUAUUAGUUGAUUAACAAAUUAGUUGAUGCUUUUUGGAAGACUUAAUGCAUUUUCAUUCCUCAUUAUCAUUUUACAAAAGAUGAGUUCCGUUUGAAUUGGCAGUGUGAGCCAUUUACCAUUGUUUGUCCAAAAUCAAAACAACCAUAACAGAGUUGUGUGUACAAGUGUAUUUAGAAGACUAAUUAAAUAUGCAAGAUGUGUUAUUAUGCUAAUAUUUCACAGCUAGUAAAGAUACCCUAUAUAAUAUUUUCAGUGAAUAACCCAAAACUGAUUCAAGUAAGAAAAACCUCUUCAGCAUACUUGUUACACGUCUUUUCCCAGAAAAGAUGUGAAAUUGGUUAUUUUCACAUACAUGUACCUGUAAAUAUGCAAAUUAAAUCAUUAAAAAAAUGAGUCGGGUUUUAACACCUCUAUCUGAGCAACUAUUUGUUACAACACUGUUGCAUGCAUGUGUAUUAUAGGUUUUUUGAGCAAAGUUAGGUUCGGAAAUGUUUUUCUCCUCAUUUUCACAUAAUUAGCUGAUAAAUUAUGCAAAUUUGGUAAUUAUGCACAAAUUAUAGAUCUAGUUGCUUUCCCUACAGCCAAAAUUUAAAUACUUGUUUGAAAUGUCAUUGCGAUAUUUGUUUUGACUUGACUUUUUUAUGUUGACACUAAAAUAUGCAUAAUUUUCCUCUAAUUAGUAAAUUAAUUAUGCAAAUUAGGACAGUAUUAUUAAAUUUUUUUGCACUUUUCAAAAGCAUAUUUUCAUAAUAAAGAGUAAACGAAAUAUCAAGCAAAUCUGAUACUAUAUUACAAGGAUAAAAGAAAGAACAGCAUUCCUCUUAUUGUCUUUUCGGUGCCAAAACAGAAAUAAAGAAAAACAAAGGAUGACCUUUGA
This is a long non-coding RNA of Patiria miniata (bat star), 1766 nucleotides long. RefSeq lists it as uncharacterized. The transcript is spliced from 2 exons. The record is from RefSeq and is a predicted model, not a curated record. Lineage: Eukaryota; Metazoa; Echinodermata; Asteroidea; Valvatida; Asterinidae.